Molecule: ribosomal RNA, 108 nt
Organism: Formosa sp. Hel3_A1_48
Lineage: Bacteria; Pseudomonadati; Bacteroidota; Flavobacteriia; Flavobacteriales; Flavobacteriaceae
Source: Rfam
UAAGGUGGUUAUUGCAAUGGGGCUCACCUCUUACCAUCCCGAACAGAGCAGUUAAGCCCAUUAGCGCCGAUGGUACUACACUUGUGGAAGAGUAGGUCACCGCCUUUU